RNAcentral lists this non-coding RNA (123 nucleotides) under unclassified sequences. Its description in RNAcentral is "drum RNA". It matches the Rfam family "drum RNA". Rfam says of the family: Firmicutes, Bacteroidetes (1 example), Proteobacteria (2 examples), Spirochaetes (2 examples). The record is from Rfam by way of RNAcentral.
AGUGUAUGAAGUACGUAGAGUGUCGGCAAGCUCUAUAUAUGGACACUUACGAAGGGUUUUGGUUGUUUUGUAUCUCAAGCCGACUUUGAGUAUUUGAGGAAAAUACGACAGAAAAAACAAACC